This 214-nucleotide ribosomal RNA is filed under the name uncultured Streptococcaceae bacterium. RNAcentral's name for it is "partial 16S ribosomal RNA". It matches the Rfam family "Bacterial small subunit ribosomal RNA", at positions 125 to 334 of the family's 1533-position model. Lineage: Bacteria; Bacillati; Bacillota; Bacilli; Lactobacillales; Streptococcaceae. The record is from RNAcentral.
CCUGUCUGGUAGCGGGGGAUAACUAUUGGAAACGAUAGCUAAUACCGCAUAAUAUUGAUUAUUGCAUGAUAAUUGAUUGAAAGAUGCUAUUGCAUCACUACCAGAUGGACCUGCGUUGUAUUAGCUAGUAGGUGAGGUAACGGCUCACCUAGGCGACGAUACAUAGCCGACCUGAGAGGGUGAUCGGCCACACUGGGACUGAGACACGGCCCAG